This 62-nucleotide transfer RNA is filed under the name Archipsocus nomas. RNAcentral's name for it is "tRNA-Glu". Lineage: Eukaryota; Metazoa; Arthropoda; Insecta; Psocodea; Archipsocidae. The record is from RNAcentral.
AUUUAUAUAGUUUAUAUAAAACAUUAUAUUUUCAUUAUAAAAAAAUUCAAAUAUUAUAAAUA